GGUGUUCUAUAUAUGUUUCACCAUAAGGGCCCUCAAAUCUCAUUUGUCAUCAUAUCUCUGACUAUUUCUCCAGUCUCCUAUUUCAUAAAGUAUGAGUUUGUUUUUCUGUUUAUAUUGUUAUGUUUAUUUCACACGGGAUCUGUGUGCCUGGUAUGAUUGUUAUGUCUAUACCAUAAGCCCACUACACUUUCCAUGAGAGUGGGAUAGUG
This is a non-coding RNA of Pelobates cultripes (western spadefoot toad), 209 nucleotides long. The record is from the annotation of a GenBank genome assembly. Lineage: Eukaryota; Metazoa; Chordata; Amphibia; Anura; Pelobatidae.